AGUUCGAUUAUGGCUCAGAUUGAACGCUGGCGGGAUGCUUCCUUCAAGUCGAACGGCAGCACGGACUUCGGUCUGGUGGCGAGUGGCGAACGGGUGAGUAAUGUAUCGGAACGUGCCUAGUAGCGGGGGAUGUACGCGAAAGCGUAGCUAAUACCACAUACGCCCUUCGGGGGAAAGCGGGGACCUUCGGGCCUCGCACUAUUGGAAGCGGCCGAUAUCGGAUUAGCUAGUUGGUGGGGUAACGGCUCACCAAGGCGACGAUCCGUAGCUGGUUUGAGAGGACGACCAGCCACACUGGGACUGGAGAGACACGGCCCAGACUCCUACAGGAGGCAGCAGUGGGGAAUUUUGGACAAUGGGGAAACCCUGAUCCAGCCAUCCCGCGUGUGCGAUGAUGAAGGCCUUCCCGGGUUGUAAAGCACGGCAGGGAGAAGACGGGCGAAAAUUCUUAUGGCGCUGACAAUGCCUGCAGAAUAAGCACCGGCUAACUGCGUGCCGGCAGCCGCGGUAAUACGUAGGGUGCGAAGGUCGGAAUUAUGGGCAUAAAGCGGUGGGAGCAGUUCGGAAAAUUAAUGAAAUCCCAGAACAACGCAGACUGCAUUUUAACUACCGAGCUAGAAGUGUGUCGGAGGGAGGUGGAAUUCCGCGUGUAGCAGUGAAAUGCGUAGAUAUGCGGAGGAACACCGAUGGCGAAGAGCAGCCUCCGCAAAUAACACUGACGCUCAUACUGCAAGCGUGGGGAGCAAACGAAGGUUAGAAUACCCUGGUGAUCCGCCCUAAACGAUGUCAACUAGCUGUUGGGGCCUUCGGGCCUUGUUGUACGCUAACGCGUGAGAUUGACCGCCUGGGAAGUACGGUCGCAAGAUUAAAACUCAAAGGAAUUGACGAGGGACCCGCACAAGCGGUGGAUGAUGUGGAUUAAUUCGAUGCAACGCGAAAAACCUUACCUACCCUUGACAUGUCUGGAAUCCCGAAGAGAUUUGGGAGUGCUCGCAAGAGAACCGGAACACAGGUGCUGCAUGGCUGUCGUCAGCUCGUGUCGUGAGAUGUUGGGUUAAGUCCCGCAACGAGCGCAACCCUUGUCAUUAGUCGCUACGAAAGGGCACUCUAAUGAGACUGCCGGUGACAAACCGGAGGAAGGUGGGGAUGACGUCAAGUCCUCAUGGCCCAUAUGGGUAGGGCUUCACACGUCAUACAAUGGUCGGGACAGAGGGUCGCCAACCCGCGAAGGGGAGCCAAUCCCAGAAACCCGAUCGUAGUCCGGAUCGCAGUCUGCAACUCGACUGCGUGAGUCGGAAUCGCUAGUAAUGGUCGCGGAUCAGCAUGUCGCGGUGAAUACGUUCCCGGGUCUUGUACACACCGCCCGUCACACCAUGGGAGUGGGUUUUUGCAGAAGUAGUUAGCCUAACCGUAAGGAGGCGAUUACUGCAGUAGGAUUCUGGGCUGGGGUGAAGUGUAACAGG
RNAcentral lists this ribosomal RNA (1463 nucleotides) under uncultured Bordetella sp. Its description in RNAcentral is "partial 16S-23S ribosomal RNA intergenic spacer". It matches the Rfam family "Bacterial small subunit ribosomal RNA". The record is from RNAcentral. Lineage: Bacteria; Pseudomonadati; Pseudomonadota; Betaproteobacteria; Burkholderiales; Alcaligenaceae.